This 84-nucleotide transfer RNA is filed under the name bacterium. Its description in RNAcentral is "tRNA-Leu". It matches the Rfam family "tRNA". From Rfam's summary of the family: Transfer RNA (tRNA) molecules are approximately 80 nucleotides in length. Their secondary structure includes four short double-helical elements and three loops (D, anti-codon, and T loops). RNAcentral also lists the same sequence under 5 other names. The record is from RNAcentral.
GCGAGGAUGGCGGAACUGGCAGACGCGCUAGUUUGAGGGGCUAGUGGGGUAACACCCGUGGGGGUUCAAGUCCCCCUCCUCGCA